GCAGUCAGUGGUCGGGUAUAAAGCUGAGGAAUUGCAGCUGAGAACGGGUCACCUGAAAGACAAAGUCAGAAGGAUGGAAAUGCACACACGCUGACAGAUGAAAGCCCCAAGAGCUGAGAGUGAGAGACACCAGGGACACAAUAAAGAGAUCCGGAUUAUGUGAUAUUCUGAGGACAGAGACUUGAGCGGGAGCAGUAUUUGAGGGAAUGGCAGAGACUUACAAAAUUCAUGAAAGGAAUCAAGUCACAUAUUCUAGGACCUCAGGGGGAUUUGUUUUAAAAGGAGAUCUAGUCAUAAAAAACUACUACUGAAAAAAAGAAAAAGAAAAAGAACCAAAGGCAAACAUCAAGAUCUGCUGCAGAAUAUGUUUCUAUGUCUUCAAAAAUAAUCAUCCACAGCUCUGGUUUUACAGGCCGGAAUUGACUGACUACCAAAAAGAAAUGAAUGGCCCAGCUAAUACCGCAAGAGAAUGGAUAGAUGGCUUCAAGCUGUGGUGGAUAUGAAAACUUUCAUGAAGGAAGUUGGAAUCAAACUGAGCCUCACAUCUGAGUAAUAAUCAUCAGAGCUAUGUGUGGCCACCAGCAUCCUGUGCCUCAGAUACGUACCUCUUUAGACAACAGCAAGAAUCCUCAUAGGGUUGGUACUGUUGCCUCCAUUUUGCAGAAGAGAAAACCAAGACUCAUUAAGAUCGUGUAAUGUGGCUCAGAAUCAGGAUUCAGACUCAAGCUCACCCCAUAACCUAUUGCAUGGCUACUUGGGGUGCCAUAAAAGGCCUCAGUAAAAAUGCAUGGUGGCUGGCUGUACCAAGCAUACUGUAGUGGCUGAGAGAUCAGUUAGAGCCCUCAAGAUGGAAAUUUCUGGAGAACAGAAUGGUACAGCUGUACAAGUAAAUGGAGCCUGCUCUGCCUAGAGUCACCAAAUUAUAAGUAGCAGGUGCUAUUGUAGAGCUGAAUUAAAGAGGACGGAACCAUUCGAUUCAAAAUAUUUCUCUCUGCCCUAUGUGUGGCUCAUCAGCGCUGAAUUCCUAUUGAAGAAAAGCACCAGACCUCCAGGAGUCUCCAUUCUGAACCCAGAGUAAUCUACAUUUGAUUUUGCAUACGUUUGCAUAUCAAAUUCGAAAGCUCCCCCCCCCUUGAUUAUAUACGAUGUUAAUUAAUUGACUAGUGCAUCCUCUAGCAGUUUCCCCUCCCGUGCCUCCUCAGCCUGGUACCCACCUAAGGUGCAUACUUCUCACCACAGGGAGAAUCAGAGGCCAGCCUGGCAGAAAACAGUUGGCACCGCUGCUCAUCAGCCCCUGCUCGAAGGCUUUGGAGAAGAAAGCCUGCCCAACCUUGUCCAGAAGAGUGACAGUGAGCACCUGCCCUCAUGAUCCCUGCCCGCCCUCCCUGCAGCUCAGAGGCAGAGAGGAAGCGUCCCGAAGCCCUUGCAGUUUAAAUGAUAACUUAGGAGACAAAGGAGGUGGGGGAGAAAAGUAGCUUGAAUCACCUACAGAAACAAAAGAAGGGCCAAAGAUAGAAGCGAGAAGAAGGACACCACAGCCAAAUUGGGCUCUGGGAAGGCUUUCAACUCUUUUAUCUUUUCUUUGUUCGUCAGCCCGUUGAAAACUACUACAGACCCAAAGCCCUAGCAUCAUGGGAAAUGAACAGUGCCCCUCACCUGGAAGGAGACUGCAAGCUCCCUAAAGUAUGGUGGAAAGGACCGUCCUGUAUGACACCCACAUCAGUUCCUGAAUUCCUCUCUGGCAUGCCCCACCUACAUUCUCAAAUGUGUCUCUUAUCAGACAGACUGCAUACUCUACCCAGGCAGCAGAGGUCUGUUGUCCAGAGUUGGCAAAAUCGAGGACUCUCCAUUGCUAGGAAGCUAGGUAUGACAGGACACGCCAGUGCACAGUUUCCUAAAAACUGAAAAGGGUCACCCUUUUAGCAUCUAAAAUGCCUCCCUCCUCAGCUCAUUUUUGGAAUGUAAGAAUGGCAUCAAAAUGCUGCCUCCCUUUGAGUUCAGAGAACAAUUGCAUAGACCAAUGAAAUAAUUUUAUCAAAUAGGGGCUGAUAUACAGAGAAAAGCGGGUUCAUUCUCGCCCUCAAAUAACAUCAUGCCUGCAGA
Peromyscus eremicus (cactus mouse) is the source of this 2103-nucleotide long non-coding RNA. RefSeq lists it as uncharacterized. The transcript has 2 exons. NCBI's taxonomy places the organism in Eukaryota, Metazoa, Chordata, Mammalia, Rodentia, Cricetidae. The record is from RefSeq and is a predicted model, not a curated record.